CGUGCGCAGCGGGCUGCCAUUGGCUGGAGCAGCGGCUGCGUGGGUCGCGAUGCUGUCGGCUCCGUGGGUGCUGGUAAAUCCGGCCCAGGAUGUAGAGAUGGCGGUGCCUGACGGCGCGUCUGACGCGGAGUUGGGUGGGAUAGAGAGUAGGGGGCAGUAGUCGGGGGAGGUAGGAGAAGGAGGAGGCGGCUGCGAAUCGCUUACAAAUGGCUCCGAAGCAUGGCCUGAAGUCUAAAUUCCAGGAGGGUGAGAGAGUGCUGUGCUUUCAUGGGCCUCUUCUUUAUGAAGUUUGGGUUAGCCAAGAAGUUCAUUCGGUUUUCCUGUAAGCUGGCUCUAGUAGCAUUUAGUUGUCUUUAACUUCGUUCAAAACAAUUUUGUUAGAUUGUAUUGUGACAGCUGUUAUACCAGCGUGCAUUUAAAAAAAACUUAUCAAAAUUGGUGAAUUUUUGUGUGGCCAUUUUAAUAUUGAAGAUGGAAAAAAAAGCAACAUUUUCAGCAUAUUAUGCUUUAUUAUUUCAAGAAAGGUAAAAAUGCAACUGAAAUGCAAAAAAGAUUUGUGCAGUGUAUGGAGAAGGUGCUGUGACUGAUCGAACAUGUCAAAAGUGGUUUGUGAAGUUUCAUGCUGGAGAUUUCUUGCUGGACGAUGCUCCACAGUCUGGUAGACCAGUUGAAGUUGAUAGCGAUCAAAUUGAUACAUUCACUGAGAACAAUCAACAUUAUACCACGCGGAGAUAGCCGACAUACUCAAAAUAUCCAGAUCAAGUGUUGAAAAUCAUUUGCACCAGCUUGGUUAUGUCAGUCGCUUUGAUGUUUGGGUUCCACAUAAGUUAAGCCAGCGGUUCCCAACCUUUUUGGCACCAGGGACCGGUUUCGUGGAAGACAGUUUUUCCACAGAUGGA
Orcinus orca (killer whale) is the source of this 899-nucleotide long non-coding RNA. RefSeq lists it as uncharacterized. NCBI's taxonomy places the organism in Eukaryota, Metazoa, Chordata, Mammalia, Artiodactyla, Delphinidae. The transcript has 2 exons. The record is from RefSeq and is a predicted model, not a curated record.